GUGAGAGCUUCCAAGCCUCCCUCAGAGUCAUUGCUAGAGUCUUGAACUGUGCACAGGCAGGAUCACACGUUUGAUCCGCUCGAGUUGUACAAAAGAUUCCAGGCUCAGGAGUUGUUCGAAAGGCGGGUUCCUGCUAAGUGGUCUGUAUAGCACCACUGAUGUGCAAAACAAGAAGUAAAAAUGCCAGAGUUCCUCCUCCUCUCAUUUUUCGUGGUAUAUGGACAGAACUGGUGGAAUGUGAGACUCAGGGGAUAAGAAAGAUGUGGCACUCGAUUCUGCUUUUUAAAGAGUAUCCUAAUUUUUCAGGUGACAUGGAAGUCAUCUUGACCUAGAGCUCUAGAACUGUGAACAAUCUUAUCUCUACUUAACCUGCAAAACCAUCAGAUAUUUCUGGGCAGAGAAUACAAAGCUACAGGGGCCAGCAACAUGACAAAUGGUAUAAUAUGUUAAUUAAAUCAGCAUAGUACAAUACCAUUGUGUUCCUGGGUAGCCUUUUUCAUUUUGAGCACCUCGACAUGCACUCCAAAUUUUUAUGCAACC
RNAcentral lists this long non-coding RNA (540 nucleotides) under Manacus vitellinus (golden-collared manakin). RNAcentral's name for it is "lncRNA (ENSMVIG00005002094.1)". Lineage: Eukaryota; Metazoa; Chordata; Aves; Passeriformes; Pipridae. The record is from RNAcentral.